ACCUGGGUGGCUCAGUCGGUUGAGCAUCUGACUUGGGCUCAGGCCAUGAUCUCAGGGUUUGUGGGUUCGAGUCCCGCAUCGGGUU
This is a transfer RNA of Felis catus (domestic cat), 85 nucleotides long. It matches the Rfam family "tRNA". From Rfam's summary of the family: Transfer RNA (tRNA) molecules are approximately 80 nucleotides in length. Their secondary structure includes four short double-helical elements and three loops (D, anti-codon, and T loops). Further hydrogen bonds mediate the characteristic L-shaped molecular structure. tRNAs have two regions of fundamental functional importance: the anti-codon, which is responsible for specific mRNA codon recognition, and the 3' end, to which the tRNAs corresponding amino acid is attached (by aminoacyl-tRNA synthetases). tRNAs cope with the degeneracy of the genetic code in two manners: having more than one tRNA (with a specific anti-codon) for a particular amino acid; and 'wobble' base-pairing, i.e. permitting non-standard base-pairing at the 3rd anti-codon position. Lineage: Eukaryota; Metazoa; Chordata; Mammalia; Carnivora; Felidae. The record is from Rfam.